This 449-nucleotide ribosomal RNA is filed under the name uncultured bacterium. RNAcentral describes it as "partial 16S ribosomal RNA". It matches the Rfam family "Bacterial small subunit ribosomal RNA", at positions 29 to 523 of the family's 1533-position model. The record is from RNAcentral.
AACGAACGCUGGCGGCAUGCCUAACACAUGCAAGUCGAACGAGAUCUUCGGGUCUAGUGGCGCACGGGUGCGUAACGCGUGGGAAUCUGCCCUUUGGUUCGGAAUAACAGUUGGAAACGACUGCUAAUACCGGAUGAUGACGAAAGUCCAAAGAUUUAUCGCCAGAGGAGGAGCCCGCGUAGGAUUAGCUAGUUGGUGUGGUAAAGGCGCACCAAGGCGACGAUCCUUAGCUGGUCUGAGAGGAUGAUCAACCACACUGGGACUGAGACACGGCCCAGACUCCUACGGGGGGCAGCAGUGGGGAAUAUUGGACAAUGGGCGAAGGCCUGAUCCAGCAAUGCCGCGUGAGUGAUGAAGGCCUUAGGGUUGUAAAGCUCUUUUACCCGGGAUGAUAAUGACAGUACCGGGAGAAUAAGCUCCGGCUAACUCCGUGCCAGCAGCCGCGGUAA